Molecule: ribosomal RNA, 491 nt
Filed under: uncultured bacterium
Lineage: Bacteria
Description: partial 16S ribosomal RNA
Rfam family: Bacterial small subunit ribosomal RNA
Source: RNAcentral
AGUGAACGCUGGCGGUAGGCCUAACACAUGCAAGUCGAACGGCAGCACAGUAAGAGCUUGCUCUUACGGGUGGCGAGUGGCGGACGGGUGAGGAAUACAUCGGAAUCUACUUUUUCGUGGGGGAUAACGUAGGGAAACUUACGCUAAUACCGCAUACGACCGACGGGUGAAAGCAGGGGAUCUUCGGACCUUGCGCGAUUGAAUGAGCCGAUGUCGGAUUAGCUAGUUGGCGGGGUAAAGGCCCACCAAGGCGACGAUCCGUAGCUGGUCUGAGAGGAGGGGCAGCGACACAUGAACUGAGAGACGGUCCAGACUCCUAUGGGAGGCAGAAGUGGGGAAUAUUGGACACUGGGCGCAAGCCUGAGCCAGACAUACCGCGUGGGUGAAGAAGGCCUUCGGGUUGUAAAGACCUUUUGUCGGGAAAGAAAAGCAGCAGGUUAAGACCCCGCUGUUCGGCCGGAACCAAAAGAAGAAGCACCGGCUACCUUCGG